This 255-nucleotide ribosomal RNA is filed under the name uncultured bacterium. Its description in RNAcentral is "partial 16S ribosomal RNA". It matches the Rfam family "Bacterial small subunit ribosomal RNA", at positions 524 to 776 of the family's 1533-position model. The record is from RNAcentral.
UACGUAGGGUGCAAGCGUUGUCCGGAAUUAUUGGGCGUAAAGAGCUCGUAGGCGGUCUGUCGCGUCGGCUGUGAAAACCCACAGCUCAACUGUGGGCUUGCAUUCGAUACGGGCAGGCUAGAGUUCGGUAGGGGAGACUGGAAUUCCUGGUGUAGCGGUGAAAUGCGCAGAUAUCAGGAGGAACACCGGUGGCGAAGGCGAGUCCCUGGACAGGUCCUGACGCUGAGGCACGAAAGCUAGGGGGAGCAAAACAGG